Long non-coding RNA from Mustela erminea (ermine), 318 nucleotides. RefSeq lists it as uncharacterized. Lineage: Eukaryota; Metazoa; Chordata; Mammalia; Carnivora; Mustelidae. The transcript has 3 exons. The record is from RefSeq and is a predicted model, not a curated record.
AAAAUAACUGUUGUGGAAAAUUCUUGCUCAAAAAGGCCGAGAUCAACUAGCACUUCCAUGCAAUGACUGUUCUCCAGACUAGAUGGAUUAACGGACCAUAAGAAUUAAACCAGAUUUUAAGGCAUCUUAUUACAGUACAGAACCAGCAAACUGAAGAAACUUCUAUGAAGACCUUGAAAGAAACCUUUCCCUCCUUCUUCAACAAUUUCUGGAAAACAAAACACACACAAAAAUCCCAACUUGACAACCACACAAUAAAAUGCAAAUUUUUAGUGACCAUCUACUUUUCAAGGCACUGUCUUUGGGUGCUUCUUUUUA